Molecule: ribosomal RNA, 515 nt
Filed under: uncultured bacterium
Lineage: Bacteria
Description: bacterial SSU rRNA
Rfam family: Bacterial small subunit ribosomal RNA
Source: RNAcentral
GAGUUUGAUCCUGGCUCAGGAUGAACGCUGGCGGCGUGCUUAACACAUGCAAGUCGAGCGAAGCGGCUGAAUUGAUUCUUCGGAUGAUUUUCAGUUGACUGAGCGGCGGACGGGUGAGUAACGCGUGGGUGACCUGCCCCAUACCGGGGGAUAACAGCUGGAAACGGCUGCUAAUACCGCAUAAGCGCACAGAGCUGCAUGGCUCGGUGUGAAAAACUCCGGUGGUAUGGGAUGGGCCCGCGUCUGAUUAGGCAGUUGGCGGGGUAACGGCCCACCAAACCGACGAUCAGUAGCCGGCCUGAGAGGGCGACCGGCCACAUUGGGACUGAGACACGGCCCAAACUCCUACGGGAGGCAGCAGUGGGGAAUAUUGCACAAUGGGGGAAACCCUGAUGCAGCGACGCCGCGUGAGCGAAGAAGUAUUUCGGUAUGUAAAGCUCUAUCAGCAGGGAAGAUAAUGACGGUACCUGACUAAGAAGCCCCGGCUAACUACGUGCCAGCCGCCGCGGUAAUUC